GACGAACGCUGGCGGCGUGCUUAACACAUGCAAGUCGAACGGAAAGGCCCUGCUUUUGUGGGGUGCUCGAGUGGCGAACGGGUGAGUAACACGUGAGUAACCUGCCCUUGACUUUGGGAUAACUUCAGGAAACUGGGGCUAAUACCGGCUAGGAGCUCCUGCUGCAUGGUGGGCGUUGGAAAGUUUCGGCGGUUGGGGAUGGACUCGCGGCUUAUCAGCUUGUUGGUGGGGUAGUGGCUUACCAAGGCUUUGACGGGUAGCCGGCCGGGGAGGGUGACCGGCCACAUUGGGACUGAGAGAGGGCCCAGACGCGUACGUGGGCGAGGAGGGGGGAAUAUUGACUGAGGGGCGGAGGACUGCUGGAGCAACGUCGGGUGCGGGAUGACUGUAUGCGGGUGGGAAACAGAUUUCGUUUAUGCCGAAGCGUGAGGGAGGGAACUGGAGAAAGAACCACGGGUUAACUAGGG
This 467-nucleotide ribosomal RNA is filed under the name uncultured bacterium. RNAcentral describes it as "partial 16S ribosomal RNA". It matches the Rfam family "Bacterial small subunit ribosomal RNA", at positions 28 to 506 of the family's 1533-position model. The record is from RNAcentral.